GCAGAGCAUCCUACGGGAGGCAGCAGUGGGGAAUAUUGCACAAUGGGCGCAAGCCUGAUGCAGCCAUGCCGCGUGUAUGAAGAAGGCCUUCGGGUUGUAAAGUACUUUCAGCAGUGAGGAAGGUGGGUAUGUUAAUAGCAUACUCAUUUGACGUUAGCUGCAGAAGAAGCACCGGCUAACUCCGUGCCAGCAGCCGCGGUAAUACGGAGGGUGCGAGCGUUAAUCGGAAUUACUGGGCGUAAAGCGCAUGCAGGUGGUUUGUUAAGUCAGAUGUGAAAGCCCGGGGCUCAACCUCGGAAUUGCAUUUGAAACUGGCAAACUAGAGUACUGUAGAGGGGGUAGAAUUUCAGGUGUAGCGGUGAAAUGCGUAGAGAUCUGAAGGAAUACCGGUGGCGAAGGCGGCCCCCUGGACAGAUACUGACACUCAGAUGCGAAAGCGUGGGGAGCAAACAGGAUUAGAUACCCUGGGAG
This 471-nucleotide ribosomal RNA is filed under the name uncultured bacterium. Its description in RNAcentral is "bacterial SSU rRNA". It matches the Rfam family "Bacterial small subunit ribosomal RNA", at positions 329 to 793 of the family's 1533-position model. The record is from RNAcentral.